This 432-nucleotide long non-coding RNA is filed under the name Citrus maxima (pomelo). Its description in RNAcentral is "long non-coding RNA (CMAX_LNC003137)". Lineage: Eukaryota; Viridiplantae; Streptophyta; Magnoliopsida; Sapindales; Rutaceae. The record is from RNAcentral.
GCGGCGGCGGCGGUGGUGGGGGAUCUAAGGCUGGAAUUGUUAGCUGUGGCGGCAGUGGCGGAGGCCGUGGAUUGUGACUGUGGCUGUGGCUGUGCAGAGGAGUUCUGCUGCUGCAUCAUCAUCAUCAUCAUAACCAUGAAUCAUUCUGCUAAGUCGUUUAUUUUAGGGUUUACGCUUCUUCAGAAUUAGGGUAUUGGAUAAUUCAUGGGGUUUAGGGUUUUUUUUUGUUUUGUUUUGUUUUGUUUUUUAAAAGAAGAGCGGGUUGAUUGGUUGUUUAUGGUUGGGGGUCAGCAGAAACUGAAAAUUAAUUUGUUGAAAUGUUUUUGUUGUUUCCGUUCGCCGAGAAAUGGGAGUGAAUGCGUCUGAGAGUGAGAUUGAGUGAGAGUGAGUCGUCUGUCGCGACUAUAGAAAUGAGACAAAGAUGGAGUUUCG